UACGUAGGGUGCAAGCGUUGUCCGGAAUUAUUGGGCGUAAAGGGUGCGUAGGUGGCGCGCUAAGUCAGGUGUGAAAUUUCGGAGCUUAACUCCGAAACUGCAUUUGAUACUGGCGUGCUUGAGGACUGGAGAGGAGACUGGAAUUCACGGUGUAGCAGUGAAAUGCGUAGAUAUCGUGAGGAAGACCAGUGGCGAAGGCGGGUCUCUGGACAGUUCCUGACACUGAGGCACGAAGGCCAGGGGAGCAAACGGG
This 253-nucleotide ribosomal RNA is filed under the name uncultured bacterium. RNAcentral describes it as "partial 16S ribosomal RNA". It matches the Rfam family "Bacterial small subunit ribosomal RNA", at positions 524 to 776 of the family's 1533-position model. The record is from RNAcentral.